Carlito syrichta (Philippine tarsier) is the source of this 799-nucleotide RNA transcript. It is a transcript of the gene named male-enhanced antigen 1 pseudogene, with no coding region annotated. The record is from RefSeq and is a predicted model, not a curated record. The transcript has a single exon. NCBI's taxonomy places the organism in Eukaryota, Metazoa, Chordata, Mammalia, Primates, Tarsiidae.
GCGGCCGGCUCUGAGCAGCCCCUGCCGGGAUGGCAACAGUAGCUCUAGGGGGAAACACCAUGGGCCCUGAGUGUCUCUUCUCCACCCAGACCAAGGAACUGGGACCACAUCAGGGCCCCUCAGAAGGCACUGGGGAUUGGAGCAGUAAGGAGCCUGAGGAAGACCAGGAGGAAACAGGGACAGUCCCAGCUGGCUACUCCUACCAGCCCCUAAAUCAAGAUCCUGAACAAGAGGAGGUGGAACUGGCACCCGUGGGGGAUGGUGAAGACGUAGUUGCUGACAUCCAGGAUCGCAUCCAGGCCCUAGGGCUGUGUUUGCCAGACCCCCCAUUGGAGAGUGAGGAUGAAGAUGAGGAGGGAGCUAAAGCAUUGAGCAAUCACAGCUCUAUUCCCAUAGACCCAGGACAUGUAGAGCUGGUGAAAAGGACGAUGGCUGGAGUGAGCCUUCCUGCGCCAGGGGUUCCUGCCUGGGCUCGGGAGAUAUCGGAUGCCCAGUGGGAAGACGUGGUACAGAAAGCCCUCCAAACCUGGCAGGCAUCCCCUCCUUGGAAGUGACCACACUGAGAGUUGCCUUAUCUCCCUACAUUCCUGCCCAGAACCAGCAUAGGACUGAACACAUCCCUGGUUGUAAUGUUCAUCUCCAUCCUCCCCAUCUCCCUUUCCACAUCAAGGCAAAAUCAGGCUACUUCUCAGAGACCCACUUUAUUCAGUCCUGUACAUAUGGGGACAUUGGCCCAAGCCCUCCUUAGCAUGUAUCACUCUGUGGAGAAUAAAGCACCCUGUGUACAUAGCCAAAAAAA